Neopsephotus bourkii (Bourke's parrot) is the source of this 1558-nucleotide long non-coding RNA. RefSeq lists it as uncharacterized. NCBI's taxonomy places the organism in Eukaryota, Metazoa, Chordata, Aves, Psittaciformes, Psittacidae. The record is from RefSeq and is a predicted model, not a curated record. The transcript is spliced from 2 exons.
GGGUUUCUGGCAGAGGUCAACAUAUCUUUUCAUGUACACCUUUACAACAGCAGCAGGAAGAAGCGCCUGCCAAGUUUUAUUUCCAAAAAGUCAAGCUCCGUUAGGUCUUGGGACCUAGAGAAGCCUCGCUCACAGGAAGCCUUCCUUCAGCACGAGCAACUUCCGUAACUCACGCCUCUGGGAGCAGAGGGGAUGGGAGCGCUCCUGGAUAAGCGAGGCACCUGGUCCCCCAUUUGUCAUCUUCCUGAGGUCACCCACCAGCUGCCUGUCCUCUCAACACCCAGCCUCGCCACCGCGGCCAAGGCAUCCUCCCUCACUCACGUUUCCAGGUCUGAACUUCCAGAUACAGUAAAUCAAUCCGCCAUCACUGAAACCACUCCAACAACUGCAAGUAAGCACUUUAACACCCUUGAGCGGCCUCGCUGCAUAACAAGGACACUGCAGUCCUAGCUGGAAUCCAGCAAAGCACUCGCUCUGCAGGACUAGUAUAGAUUACACUUUGGAGGACUGCAGAACUGCAGCUACUUUUAGUCUAUGACUAAAUCAGGCUCCACUUGUACUUGACCCCGAGAAGAAUGCCAUUGAACACAAGGGCCUCUUCUCAGCUAUGAUCCCCUAUCUCUUCCUUUUCAAUGGCUAAAAAGACUAUUAAGCCAUCAUUUCUAAUGGCAAGGUAGCUCUCUUCUUAACAUGUUGUGGAAAUGUUUUGGCAUGGCUCUAUCUUCAAAUUCUUCAUCUUUCCUACUGCCUCCAACUCCACACACUACAUUUAGGACACAGGUCACCAGAAGAACAUGGAUAUGUUUAAGUAGUUAUUACUACUCUGAGGAAGUUUGCCACUGUUUUGUAACUUACUACCUGAGUCAGGAUUGUUCUCAUAGGCUUAUCUUUCUUGUUUUUCCUUAUAAGAAUAAGCAACUUCAGUUUUAAAGACAUCACUGUGUCUUUCCUCACGGCUAAGGGAACAUUUCCCUGGGUUUGAUUCCAUGAAUACAGCAUCUCCUCCGUAGGCAAAAAGAACACAGCUUUUAUUCUGACAGUUCUUUUGGACACACAAAUUCUUCUUUUAGCAUAAAAAUUCCCAACUGUUCCUCACUCGCUGACUCUGUCUCUGACUUCUGCACACCCCACUGCGCACCAUAAAUCCCUAGUGCACGGCAAGCAAUCCAUAUUGAUGAACUGGGGCUUUGAGUGAGCUACAUGAAAGAGAUUCCUUCUGGACCAGCUUCCAUGUAAAUUACACAGCUGUGAAGCAAAUGAAGCCAUUUCUGAACAGAGCACUCAAUCAGGAACACCUACAGCAACAGGAUGGAGAUGCACAGAGACUUUUUUUACCCCCUUUUUUCAGUACAUUUGUGGCAAGAGGUCACAAAGAUGGUCAUGACUGUGCCACAACUGCAGAGUGCAGCAUAGACUGCUGUGAGCAGAGAGGAGAUCUUUUUGCUCCAGAAGCUCUGGUAAGGACCUUGACUUUGGGCGCAAGGCUGGAAAAUGGACUGGCCAGCACACUUUCAGAGGGUUUUUCACAUUGAAGGACUGUGUUUUAGUCCCAGCAAGA